AGUCUUAAAUCCCUUGCCCAAGACAGGAGCCUUUGCUUUUUGUGAGAGUCCACGUCCGUCACCUAGUGUGACUCAUCCAUUCUCCAGUGCCUUGCCCCUCCCACUGCAGGAGCUACUCCCAUGCAGGACUUGUCUGUCAGGCUGCAGCACUCCUGCACAUGGGGCUCACUGCCUGUGGGAACCGCAGGGUCCAGCCUGGGGAGCUGCCAUUCGGGGCUAACUUGACUCUCAUACGUACAAGAGCCCAGCCUGUGAUUUGUAGCAAGGUAUGACAGAAGAGAGCCAGUAAUGCCCAUAUCUCCAGCUGCCAGGGAGUGGGGCAAAUUUGCCGAAACAAGAAAGUCAGCUGUGUGGAAGACAAUGACUCAUACACUUUUGCUGUACUACUUGGUGUUUCUUUUGCCCAUAGAGUCCUGUAGGACAUUGUAUCAGGCUGCAAGCAAAAGCAAGGAGAAGGUGCCUGCCAGGCCACACGGUGUAUGCGAUGGUGUCUGUACAGAUUACUCCCAGUGUACUCAACCUUGCCCUCCAGACACUCAGGGAAAUAUGGGGUUUUCAUGCAGGCAAAAGACAUGGCACAAGAUCACUGACACCUGCCGGACUCUUAAUGCCCUCAACAUCUUUGAGCAGGAUUCACAUUUGGUUCAGCCAUUUGAAGACAAUAUAAAAAUAAGUGUAUAUACUGGAAAGUCUGAGACCAUAACAGAUAUGUUGCUACAAAAGUGUCCCACAGAUCUGUCUUGUGUAAUUAGAAACAUUCAGCAGUCUCCCCGGAUACCAGGAAACAUUGCCGUAAUUGUGCAGCUCUUACACAACAUAUCAACAGCAAUAUGGACAGGUGUUGAUGAGGCAAAGAUGCAGAGUUACAGCACCAUAGCCAACCACAUUCUUAACAGCAAAAGCAUCUCCAACUGGACUUUCAUUCCUGACAGAAACAGCAGCUAUAUCCUGCUACAUUCAGUCAACUCCUUUGCAAGAAGGCUAUUCAUAGAUAAACAUCCUGUUGACAUAUCAGAUGUCUUCAUUCAUACUAUGGGCACCACCAUAUCUGGAGAUAACAUUGGAAAAAAUUUCACUUUUUCGAUGAGAAUUAAUGAUACCAGCAAUGAAGUCACUGGGAGAGUGUUGAUCAGCAGAGAUGAACUUCGGAAGGUGCCUUCCCCUUCUCAGGUCAUCAGCAUUGCAUUUCCAACUAUUGGGGCUAUUUUGGAAGCCAGUCUUUUGGAAAAUGUUACUGUAAAUGGGCUUGUCCUGUCUGCCAUUUUGCCCAAGGAACUUAAAAGAAUCUCACUGAUUUUUGAAAAGAUCAGCAAGUCAGAGGAGAGGAGGACACAGUGUGUUGGCUGGCACUCUGUGGAGAACAGAUGGGACCAGCAGGCCUGCAAAAUGAUUCAAGAAAACUCCCAGCAAGCUGUUUGCAAAUGUAGGCCAAGCAAAUUGUUUACCUCUUUCUCAAUUCUUAUGUCACCUCACAUCUUAGAGAGUCUGAUUCUGACUUACAUCACAUAUGUAGGCCUGGGCAUUUCUAUUUGCAGCCUGAUCCUUUGCUUGUCCAUUGAGGUCCUAGUCUGGAGCCAAGUGACAAAGACAGAGAUCACCUAUUUACGCCACGUGUGCAUUGUUAACAUUGCAGCCACUUUGCUGAUGGCAGAUGUGUGGUUCAUUGUGGCUUCCUUUCUUAGUGGCCCAAUAACACACCACAAGGGAUGUGUGGCAGCCACAUUUUUUGUUCAUUUCUUUUACCUUUCUGUAUUUUUCUGGAUGCUUGCCAAGGCACUCCUUAUCCUCUAUGGAAUCAUGAUUGUUUUCCAUACCUUGCCCAAGUCAGUCCUGGUGGCAUCUCUGUUUUCAGUGGGCUAUGGAUGCCCUUUGGCCAUUGCUGCCAUCACUGUUGCUGCCACUGAACCUGGCAAAGGCUAUCUACGACCUGAGGCCUGCUGGCUCAACUGGGACAUGACCAAAGCCCUCCUGGCCUUCGUGGUCCCAGCUUUGGCCAUCGUGGUAGUAAACCUGAUCACAGUCACACUGGUGAUUGUCAAGACCCAGCGAGCUGCCAUUGGCAAUUCCAUGUUCCAGGAAGUGAGAACCAUUGUGAGAAUCAGCAAGAACAUCGCCAUCCUCACACCACUUCUGGGACUGACCUGGGGAUUUGGAGUAGCCACUGUCAUCAAUGACAGAUCCCUGGCCUUCCACAUUAUCUUCUCCCUGCUCAAUGCAUUCCAGGGUUUCUUCAUCCUAGUGUUUGGAACCAUCCUGGAUCCAAAGAUAAGAGAAGCCUUAAAGGGUCGAGUAGCCUCUGCAAAAAGGAGCUCCAGAAUAUCAGAGAAUGCUUCUUCUGAAUUAUCUUGUCAUCCCAUCAAAGGCCCAAGUUAACAAACCAGGCUACAUCCCUAACCUAGGAGGUUGUAUAUUUCAGGAAUGGCAGAGCCCAAAGGAGAAAUGUGCUCAUUCCUGUCUUCUUGCCUCUGGAGAAUAUGUAGGAAGCUCACACAUGUGGUGCUGAUGGAGGAGGGCGUGAUGUGCAGAAAGGAUGAAAGGCUCCUCUGUCUCAGCUGUUCUGUGCUACUAAACAUUUCUCGUCCAUCAACUGUACAUAGCUACAUAUAUGUCAUGCUGGGCAGCCACAGCAAACAAAAAGACAAAGGGGGCCACGACCGUGGUUUUUGUUGGGGCUUCCAUCUCUAUGCUGUUGGGUCACAUUUGUCUUCAGAAAGCAACCUCUGUCUCAUCUUGGAAAAGGCGGCCUGGGAUUUCACCUGGCUGGAUUCUGUGUGUUGCUGAGGGAGGAGCCUCAUGAAUAGUCACAAAGAGUUGGGCUGACUCUAAGUAGGUCAUUGCAGAUUAUUAUUUUUUUUUUCAAAAGGAAUCCACUGCCAGUAUAUUCCGCUUUUUCAAAUUUAAAUAGAUUGGAUUGUCAACUAGGUUUAGGCUUAGAUACAACUUCCUUGGCCGUGAACCAAGGGGAAAAGCAUAGAGCUUUUGAGACAGAAAGAUGACCAUUUUCAGUUAAGGAGAUGGAAGCCUGGAGUUGUGAGUCAAUGCUAAUCGAGGACUGAGCCAGAGGUAGAAACACAAGUGUGCUGACUCCCAGCCCUGUACUUCCUCUUCAAGACCAUAUAGACACUGAAAGAUCUUCUGCCUACACUGACAAUGUAAGGUCAAUCCUCACCAACAAUAUGCUUUUUUGAUACCUGGGAUUGGAGAGAGGAGAUAUCACAUUUCCAAUUCAGAGCUGCUCUUUUUCUUAACCUGUAUGUAAACAAAUUCAACAUUCAAACCAGGUGUUACCUGAUAGAACAGUAUUGUAGGUAGAAGCCCUUUGAGGAAAAAAAAAAAGCCUCUUUACAAAGCAAGGACGUAGAUGACUUCAGCAGCAUCUAACUAGUGGAUGAAGGCAAAGGGGCAAUGGGCAGCCUUUAAUUAUCCCAACAAGAAGUCAGUAUUGAUGAUGUUUCAUUACAAAGGAGAAAGUGGGGCUCACUUUAGGUAUGAGUGCAGUCCCUUCCUUCCUUCCUUCUUCCCUCCCUCCCUCUCUCUCUUUCUCCCUUUCUCUUUCUUUCUUUCUUUUUUUCUCCCUCUCUUUCUUUCUUUCUUUCUUUCUUUCUUUCUUCUUUCUUUCUUUCUUCUUUCUUUCUUCUUUCUUUCUUCUUUCUUUCUUAUUACAAAUUAUCUUCCUAUAAGUAGGAAAGUUUGAGCAGACAAAAAGCAUCAAUCUGAAGUUAAAAAAAUGCAUCAACCUGGAGAAAUAGUCAUUUUUCAAAUGGCAUUGCUUAUCUUGGGACAACAAAAGCAUCCUUCACAAAUAAAGUCAGAGAGUGGUUUUAAUUUACCAUUUACCAAUAGAUUUGUAUGUUCUUUUCAAGAGAAGGGGUGAGAUAGACAUAGUCCUGGUUUUCCUCAAUGCAGGCUUAGGUACAAAGAAAUGUCACUUACCCAGAGUCCAUAUAUUGAAGUGAAAAUGGAAUUUCAUGAAGCAAAUAUAGUUAUAGGAUGGUAACUCUGGACAAAUUUUAUAAAAGACGAACUCCAAUUGCCUCAUUUCACAGAUAACAGCUCUGAGCACUAGGGAGAGAGGGAGGGAUUGGCCUAGCAUUUGCUUUGUGUCUUGAGCAGUCACAUCUAUUAUGGAAGUACUCACUACUCAGCUAUACUCAGUCCCUGAGACAGGAUGGUUGGAAAGACACCCCACCUUAGCCUCAUCAUUAAUCAAGAAACCCCAAGGAUGCUUAGAGAAAAACUCUGGAAUUAUCUGGGAAUUCCUGGAAGAAGCUAUGCCCUCUCUCCUGCAUCCCAAAGCCCACUCUACACCAUCUUGAAAAAUGUCAAGGAACUGCAUGGAUUAGGUUGACUCUGGAUGACCCUGGGUAGAGACACAUUCAGUUUCCUGCUGACACCUCACCAAGAAAGUGAUUUGGUCAGCUGACUCUAGGAGAAAUUGGUACUGAUAGUGUCCAAGGCAGAUUUUUAAGUAUCAGACUUAAUACAUAAUGAUUCUUGGGAAAACCAUUUAAAUCCCUGAGACUUUAAGUGGAUAAAUGUAGGUAAAGUAGUAUAGUACUUGGCUCAUAAUAGUUGCUCAUUCAAAUUCAAAUGUUAGUUUUAGUUGUUUUUUUUAAAUUAGAGUCCUGUGAAUACAUGAACCCACCCACCCACACGCAAACACAAGCAAACACACAGCCAUGACCCCAUGCAUAAGUUUGGCUGAAGACACCCUCAUGGGAACUAGUUCACUGACUUCCAAAUUAAAGAGUUAAGCAUUUGAUUUGGUCUGUUCAACAUUAGGGGUAUCAGCCAGCAAAAUCUGUUGAGCUUACCGUUGAAAAAUCCUUUCAUUCAUUACUGUGGUCAUAAUACACAGUUACCUGGCCAGGAAAGAGUACACAUCACAGGGAUCUGCUCACUUCAUGUGUGCCUGAGCUCUCCCUCACUUUCUACCUUCUUCAAGAAUUCUUCCCUGAUUGGUCCAACCAGAAGCGCUGAUUCUCCCCACCUGAUUUCCUGUAAUUUUACAAUCUAUGUCCUUCACUUUUGUGUUAUAUUGUUUAUUUCCUUUUGGUCUUUUUGUGUGCAUAUGUAUAUGUUUUGGGGAAUGGGGUUAUUCACUUUUGUUACUCACUGUGUUACUCACUUUUGUAUGCCCAUAGUGCAGAGCAUGGUGCCUUGUACAUAGAGUAUGUUCGGUAAAUAUGUGCAAUAAAAAGUCCUUUGAUUAC
RNA transcript from Pan troglodytes (chimpanzee), 5213 nucleotides. It is a transcript of the gene named adhesion G protein-coupled receptor F2, with no coding region annotated. The record is from RefSeq and is a predicted model, not a curated record. NCBI's taxonomy places the organism in Eukaryota, Metazoa, Chordata, Mammalia, Primates, Hominidae. The transcript is spliced from 10 exons.